This 103-nucleotide small nucleolar RNA is filed under the name Sciurus vulgaris (Eurasian red squirrel). RNAcentral's name for it is "Small nucleolar RNA U13 (ENSSVLG00005012627.1)". It matches the Rfam family "Small nucleolar RNA U13". Lineage: Eukaryota; Metazoa; Chordata; Mammalia; Rodentia; Sciuridae. The record is from Rfam by way of RNAcentral.
CUCCUUUUGUGGCUCAUAAUUUGAUGACUGGGCUUUCACACCAUUGUGUGAGAUGUGCCUCCCUCAAACCUAGUUAUAACAUUGGCACAUUACUCAUCUGUGU